CAGCUAGUUGGUGGGGUAAUGGCCCACCAAGGCUUAGACGCGUAGCUGGUCUGAGAGGAUGAUCAGCCACACUGGCACUGAAACACGGGCCAGACUCCUACGGGAGGCAGCAGUGGGGAAUAUUGGACAAUGGGCGCAAGCCUGAUCCAGCCACGCCGCGUGAGUGAUGAAGGCCUUCGGGUUGUAAAGCUCUGUGGGGAGGGACGAAAACGGCGCACAAGAAACGGUGCGUCCUUGACGGUACCUCCUUAGCAAGCACCGGCUAACUCUGUGCCAGCAGCCGCGGUAAUACAGAGGGUGCGAACGUUGCUCGGAAUUACUGGGCGUAAAGCGCAUGUAGGCGGAUCCAUAAGUCGGGCGUGAAAUCCCCAGGCUCAACCUGGGAACUGCGCUCGAAACUGUAGGUCUUGAGUGUCGGAGAGGAUGGCGGAAUUCCUGGUGUAGAGGUGAAAUUCGUAGAUAUCA
This 465-nucleotide ribosomal RNA is filed under the name uncultured delta proteobacterium. Its description in RNAcentral is "SSU rRNA". It matches the Rfam family "Bacterial small subunit ribosomal RNA", at positions 242 to 699 of the family's 1533-position model. Lineage: Bacteria; Deltaproteobacteria. The record is from RNAcentral.